CUCCUUUUCCCCUCUCUUCUCCACCGCCCAACCAAAACUCUCGCCGACUUCCCCUUCCCUCUUCCCUCUUCCCUCUACCGAAUCGGAUCGCCAUCAGCCUCGGGACGAUCGAGCGCCAUCGCAUGGGAGAUUCCUCUUAGGGCAUCAUAGUCACGGGGAGGCCUUCAACCAUCUCAUCGACGGCACGGAACAGCGAGCCAAGGGAUAGGCAAGUACAUUCUACUAUGGUGACAUGAGACCUGUGAGGUGAGGAAGACGUCACCCAGGUUAUGAUGGAAGGCAUGCGGACAGAGUAGAUGAGGAGGCGAGAUGGAUGCACGACACACUGUUCGAGCGCUUAUGUAGUGCUAAGCUUUUUAUUGUAUGAGAAGUUGUAUUGGUGUAUCCUCGUUCUUUUUGUUACAUUUUGUUUGAGAUGAUACCAGUUAUGUUGGGUAUGAUGGUUCUUUAUGAUGGAUUUCUAUUCUGGUUAUAUUACAGUAAAGUUUAGAGGAA
This is a long non-coding RNA of Zingiber officinale, 495 nucleotides long. RefSeq lists it as uncharacterized. NCBI's taxonomy places the organism in Eukaryota, Viridiplantae, Streptophyta, Magnoliopsida, Zingiberales, Zingiberaceae. The transcript has 2 exons. The record is from RefSeq and is a predicted model, not a curated record.